GUCUGGAAAGGCCGGCGCGAUGGGUGACAGCCCCGUACGGGACGGACGAUUCAUAGGACUCGAGUAGGGCGGGACACGUGAAAUCCUGUCUGAACAUGGGGGGACCACCCUCCAAGCCUAAGUACUCCUCAGCGACCGAUAGCGAACCAGUACCGUGAGGGAAAGGUGAAAAGCACCCCGACGAGGGGAGUGAAACAGCACCUGAAACCGGAUGCUUACAAACAGUGGGAGCCCAAGGUUCGUCCUGGGUGACCGCGUACCUUUUGUAUAAUGGGUCAGCGACUUAAAGUUACGAGCGAGCUUAAGCCGAUAGGUGGAGGCGCAGCGAAAGCGAGUCUGAACAGGGCGUUCAGUUCGUGGCUUUAGACCCGAAACCGAGUGAUCUAGC
Molecule: ribosomal RNA, 388 nt
Filed under: Pseudonocardia charpentierae
Lineage: Bacteria; Bacillati; Actinomycetota; Actinomycetes; Pseudonocardiales; Pseudonocardiaceae
Description: Pseudonocardia sp. DSM 45834 partial 23S ribosomal RNA
Rfam family: Bacterial large subunit ribosomal RNA
Source: RNAcentral